Molecule: transfer RNA, 75 nt
Filed under: Caudoviricetes sp.
Lineage: Duplodnaviria; Heunggongvirae; Uroviricota; Caudoviricetes
Description: tRNA-Met
Rfam family: tRNA
About the family: Transfer RNA (tRNA) molecules are approximately 80 nucleotides in length. Their secondary structure includes four short double-helical elements and three loops (D, anti-codon, and T loops). Further hydrogen bonds mediate the characteristic L-shaped molecular structure. tRNAs have two regions of fundamental functional importance: the anti-codon, which is responsible for specific mRNA codon recognition, and the 3' end, to which the tRNAs corresponding amino acid is attached (by aminoacyl-tRNA synthetases). tRNAs cope with the degeneracy of the genetic code in two manners: having more than one tRNA (with a specific anti-codon) for a particular amino acid; and 'wobble' base-pairing, i.e. permitting non-standard base-pairing at the 3rd anti-codon position.
Source: RNAcentral
GGCAGGAUAGAGCAGUAGUAGCUCGCUUGGUUCAUAACCAAGAGGUCGAUGGUGCAAUCCCAUCUCCUGCAACCA